Molecule: ribosomal RNA, 509 nt
Filed under: uncultured fungus
Lineage: Eukaryota; Fungi
Description: eukaryotic LSU rRNA
Rfam family: 5.8S ribosomal RNA (bases 138-291)
Source: RNAcentral
GUAGGUGAACCUGCGGAAGGAUCAUUAUUGAUUGGUCGAAAGACCUUAUCAGAUUCUACCACCUCUGUGAACCGUUGACCUCCGGGUUAAUAAUCAAACAUCAGUGUAACGAACGUAAGAGUAUCUUAAUUAAACAAAACUUUUAACAACGGAUCUCUUGGCUCUCGCAUCGAUGAAGAACGCAGCGAAAUGCGAUAAGUAAUGUGAACUGCAGAAUUCAGUGAAUCAUCGAAUCUUUGAACGCACCUUGCGCCUUUUGGUAUUCCGAAAGGCAUGCCUGUUUCAGUGUCAUGAAAUCUCAAUCUAAUAUGUUUUCUGAACAUGUUAGGCUUGGACUUGGGUGUCUGCCAGCAAUGGCUCACCUCAAAUGACUUAGUGGAACAUCCCACAUCAGUGUUAGACGUAAUAAGUUUCGUCUCUCCUUGUGGUGAUGACUGCUCAAAACCUGCCAUCGCGCACCUUUUGACUUUGACCUGAAAUCAGGUAGGGCUACCCGCUGAACUUAAGCA